Molecule: long non-coding RNA, 1556 nt
Filed under: Monodelphis domestica (gray short-tailed opossum)
Lineage: Eukaryota; Metazoa; Chordata; Mammalia; Didelphimorphia; Didelphidae
Description: lncRNA (ENSMODG00000034065.2)
Source: RNAcentral
AUAGAGCACAGUGCCUUCUUUGAUGCUGGCAAACCAUGCUGGACUAUCAUGUGCCAGUUUCUUUUUAUGUCUCAUAAUUAAUACCAGAGUUCUUCAGAGAGACCUCGAGAGUGUCCUUGUAUUGCUUCUUUUGGCUUCUGUGUGAGCACUUGCCUUGCUUGUGUGAGUUCUCUGUAAAACAGUCUUUUUGGCAAAUUUAUGUUUGACAUUUAAAAAAUAUAACCAUACCAUCAGAGUGUGCUCUCUGUAUUAGAGCUUGAAUGCUUGGCAGUUCAAUUCAAGAAAGGAUCUGUGUCCAGAGCUUUAUCUUGCCAGAACCUCCAAACGCUAAGCUAGAUCUGGCAAUGCUGAGUCUCAUCAUCUACGUGUGCAUCCUUGGAAAGCAUACUGCCAAGAACACCUGGAACAAAUACAAAAUGCUGGUACAAUCAAGAACGUGCAUGCGUGUAAGGUUUUUACAUGUGCAUGUAUGUAAGAUUGAAAUUCUCAAGUGCAUGGAAGUAAGCUGAGUUCUUCAUGAAUGCUCGUCAGAAUACCUCAGUAAUUCUUCAUUUGUAAAAAUCUACAUAUGAUGAACAUAAUACACAUUCAUAUGCCAUAUACAAUUGUAUGCAUGUAUAUGUGUAUGUAUUUAUGUCAUAUACAUAUAUGUAUAUUACAUUGUAUACAUGGAUGCAUGGAUUUUGUAUCAGAGUAAAUAUGUGAAUAUACAUAGAUAUGUUUGCUUAUUGUAAGGAGGGAAGAAGAGAAAUGGGUUACAAGUAGCAAGAGAGAGGUUUGUAAGACCAGACCCCAUUCUAGGAACUAAUAAUGCUGGAUUCUGGAACACAGAGAGGGGAUAAAGAGUGAACACCAAUGGCUAUUCAGGGGUUCUUGGUCCCUGUCUUUUGAGCUGAGGAGUGUUUGACUUCCUAUACCCUGGAGCUGAGGAGUUUUUGACUUCCUGUCUUUUGAGCUGAGGAGUUUUUGACUUCCUGUCUCUGGAGCUGAGGAGUUUUUGACUUCCUGUCUCUGGAGCUGAGGAGUUUUUAACUUCCUGUCUCUGGAGCUGAGGAGUUUUUAACUUCCUGUCUGUGGAGCUGAGGAGUUUUUUACUUCCUGUCCCCUGGAGCUGGAUAGGCUUAUCUCUAUUGUUCCUGAUUGAAGAAAACUCUUCUUUGAAGAUAAAUUCAAACUGUUCCUGUUCAUUGAUUGUGUUCCUGACCACUAAGAAGAUUUGUGACCAGCUAACCUGAGCAAAACUAUAGUGGUGAUGAGGCCUGAGCCCCAAUUCAGGCCUGACCCAGCUAGGGUAGAUUCAGUCAUCCUGGGUUCAUUCCUAAGCAUAUCUGAAGACCUCUUCCAUCCUAGAAAUCAACCUGGGAGCAUAAAGUAGUGCCAGGUUUAGCUAGUCAGCCAUUGAGAAUCAAGACAGACAGGUUAGGGCCUAGGGAAUUUCAAGAAAAAGAAGGUACCUUCAUGAGGAGGUUUUAGGAAGGUGGGAGACUAGUGAGAAACCCUUAGAUGUAGAGAAACCUAAUUCCUUAAUCCUCCUUUUCUAAUACCUUGGUUUCUAA